GCAAUAGCUACUUGCAUCAUAGUUAAUAUGAUGCAAGCUCGACUAAGUUGAAUAAAAUUCUAGGUAGAAUUAUGAUAAUGACAUUGUCUGCCUAUGUGUCUUGACCAAAUUACGUGCCAGCAGUCGCGGGAAUACGUAGAAGACUAGUGUUAUUCAUGUUUAAUCGGUUUAAAGGGUACCUAGACGGUGAAUCAAGCUUUGGUGUAAAUAAUAAAAACCAUAUUGUAUAAGACCUAUAUUUGAGAUACAUAUUUACAUAUGAUAAGGACUAAUUUACUAGAGUUACUUACGAGGGGGUAUUAAAGUACUGCUGGUGUAGAGAUGAAAUUCUGUCAUACCUCUUUUCGAAAGAAAAAUCAUGGCACAGGUAUAGGCGAAGGCAUCCCCUUAUGGGCUAACUGACGUUGAGGGACGAAGGCUUCAUGUAACAAACAGGAUUAGAUACCCUAGUAGUUGAAAGCAGAAAAUGAUGAAUGUCAUAGAUUAGAUAUAUAAGUUUAUUCUAUAAAUGAAAGUGUAAGCAUUCCACCUCAUGAGUAAUUUGGCAACAUUGGAAUUGAAAUCAUUAGACCGUUUCUGAAACCAGUAGUGAAGUAUGUUGUUUAAUUUGAUACUCCGCAAAAAACCUUACCACAAUUUGAAUAUUUAGAUCUUUUAUUGUUUUCAUCUUAAUUUUAUUAUGAUUUUAUUUUUAUUUAAAAAAAAAGAAAAAAUUAAGAAUAAGGCAAUAAG
Molecule: ribosomal RNA, 732 nt
Filed under: Flavoparmelia soredians
Lineage: Eukaryota; Fungi; Ascomycota; Lecanoromycetes; Lecanorales; Parmeliaceae
Description: SSU rRNA
Rfam family: Bacterial small subunit ribosomal RNA
Source: RNAcentral